RNAcentral lists this long non-coding RNA (251 nucleotides) under Ananas comosus (pineapple). RNAcentral's name for it is "long non-coding RNA (ACOM_LNC041343)". The record is from RNAcentral. Lineage: Eukaryota; Viridiplantae; Streptophyta; Magnoliopsida; Poales; Bromeliaceae.
GAUCGAAAAGGGGCAUUCCGGUGCGUUUGUCGGCAAAAUCCGCCGACGGAACGCGAUUUCGGUUUGGAAAUAUUCCGACGGUGUCUCGGGAUGAUUUAUUGUGUCGCUGAGCCUAGUUGGCUGGUCACCCGUGUCAUUUCGAGGGUUCGGAAAUGAUGGGUGAGCGACGGUGGGUUUCGGUGUCGAAAUAGACACUUCCGGGAACUCGGUUCGGAACGAUUAUCCGACGAUAAUCGUUUUGGAGUGAGUUA